AUGGCAGAGGCUGUUGUUGGGCAGCUGGUGGUCUCCCUCGGUGCGGCGCUGGCGAAAGAGACAGCUAUCUUUGGCGGGGCACUGCUCAGCAAGGAAGCCGCCGCCAUCAGGGGCCUCUUCGGCAAGAUCCGCGACUCCAAGGCGGAGCUGGAGAGCAUGCAGGCCUACCUGCAGGAGGCGGAGCGGUUCAAGGACACUGACAAGACCACAGCCAUCUUCGUCGGCGAGGUCAGGGGCCUAGCCUUCCAGAUCGAGGAUGUCAUUGACGAGUUCACCUACAAGCUGGAGGACUGCAGGCAUGGAGGGUUUGCGGGCAAGAUGAAGAAGAGGCUCAAGCAUAUCAAGACCUGGCGCCGCCUAGCAGCCAAGCUCCAAGAAAUCGAUGUCAAGCUAAAAGAUGCCAAGAGGAGGAAGCAGGAUUACGCAGUCGUUGCAGGAACCGGCGGAUCUGCUUUUGCUGCCAGAUCGACAAGCCGAGGUCAAGCUCUGCACUUCACCAGGGAUGAGGACCUUGUGGGAAUCGAGGAGAACAAAGAGAAGUUGAUACGGUGGCUGACCGUCAGCGGUGGUAGUGGUCAUGGUCUGGAGCAGAACAACUGCAAAGUCACCACGGUGUGGGGGAUGCCUGGUGUUGGUAAAACCACUCUGGUUGCUCAUGUGUACAACACUGUAAAAGUGGAUUUCGACGCGGCGGCGUGGGUAACUGUGUCGGAGAGUUACCAUAUUGAGGAUCUGCUGAAGAAGAUUGCCGCCCAGUUCGGCAUCACAGUCGACGUCGCCGACAUUGAGAUGAGAGACCUAGCAGAGUCCAUCCAUGAUUACCUUCAAGGUAAAAAGUUCAUUAUGGUCUUGGAUGAUGUUUGGGCUGCACGCGUGUGGUUGGAGAUAAGGAAUGUCUUCCCAACGUCUAACUUUACCAGCCGAUUUGUUAUCACAUCAAGAAAGCAUGAGGUGUCACUGUUGGCAACUAGGGAGUCUGCAAUUCACUUGGAACCGCUACAAGAACAUCACUCCUGGCUGUUAUUUUGUAAUGGAGCCUUUUGGAAUACUGAUGACAAAGAGUGCCCGGUGGAGCUGCAGGAAUUGGCUCGUAAGUUCAUAACAAAGUGUCAAGGCUUGCCUAUUGCUAUUGCUUGCAUUGGCCGCCUACUCUCCUUGAAACCCCCAACUUCUGCUGAAUGGGAGGAUGUGUACAGUGGUUUGGAUUCACAAUUGGCGAAAGAUGUGAUCCCCGAUGCUCAUAUGAUCCUAAAGUUCAGCUUGGAGGACCUUCCAUAUGAUUUGAAGAAUUGUUUCCUACACUGUGCAUUGUCUCCAGAAGAUUAUGUAUUAAAGAGGAGGAAGACAAUGAGGCUCUGGAUCGCUGCGGGGUUUAUCAGGGAAAAAGAUGAGAGCAAAACAUUGGAGGAAGUGGCGGAGGGAUACUUGGCUGAGCUUGUGAACCGAAGCCUUUUACAGGUAGUAGAAAGGAAUUAUGCCGGACGACUGAAAUACUGCAGGAUGCAUGAUGUCAUACGCCUUCUUGCCCUCAACAAAGCCAAGGAGGAAUGCUUCGGUAAAAUUUAUAAUGGCUCUGCUACUAGAGCAUUCUCUGUAGAGGGUGCACGUCGCGUAUCGGUCCAUGGGGGAAAUCUUGAACAACUGAGCCGAUCUGGCACAACACAUCUCCGUGCACUCUAUGUAUUUGAGAGGUAUAUCGAGGUCGAUUUGCUGAAGACUAUCCUAACAUCUUCGAAACUGCUGACGAUGUUGGAUCUUCAAGGUACCUGUAUCAAAAUGCUGCCCAGUGAGGUAUUCAACUUGUUUAAUCUGCGUUAUUUGGGUCUUAGAGAUACUGGGAUGGAAAGCCUGCCUGAAGCAGUAGGGAGGUUGCAAAACCUGGAAGUCUUGGAUGCUUCCAAAUCUAAGUUGACGUAUUUGCCAAACAGUGUUGUAAAACUUAAGAAGCUGAGAUACCUGUAUGCGUGGUCUGUGGUUGCAUCUGAGGAAUUUGAAAUUGGAAAUCUAGGUGGAGUCAAGGUGCCUAAUGGCAUACAACAGUUGGCAGGACUGCAGGCUCUUCAGUCUGUCCAAGCCACUCCAGAGUUUCUGCUUGAAGUUGCAGCUCUGACAGAGCUAAGAACAUUCGGUGUCUGCAACGUGAGAAGUGAAAACUCUGCUUGCUUGAGUAACACUAUCACCAAAAUGAGCCAUCUUGUUCAUCUCGAAAUUGUUGCUGCAACUGAGAAUGAGCUGCUGCAGUUUGAAGGUCUAUAUUUACCUCCAACCCUUUCUUCGCUUGGUUUAGCAGGGCAGCUAGAAAAAACAUCGAUACCUCAGCUUUUCUCUUCUUGGUCACACCUUGAUAGCCUUACUCGAUUGCACCUGGCAUUCUCCAAUAUUGAUGAGCAAACCUUUUCCUGUCUGCGUAUGUUACGUGGUCUACACUUUCUUGAGGUAAUGAAGGCUUUUGAAGGGACGAGGUUGGAAUUUUGCGCAGGGUCAUUUCCAAAACUUCGAUUUCUACAUAUAUGGGGCGCAGCACAACUCAACCAAGUUAGAAUAGAAGAGAGUGCGCUAAAAAUCCUUGCUGAGGUAUGGUUCACAGACUGUCCUGAGCUAAAGUUUCUUCCAGAUGGCAUUGAACACCUUGCAGCCCUUGAGAAAUUAAUUCUGAAAGACACGUCAGAAGAGCUGAUAAAGAAGCUCGGGCAGAUGAGAGAUUCAGAUGAAUACGGUGAAGAUGUAAUGAAGAUUAGCCACAUAAGGAAUGUUACAGUUGCACUGAGCCAUAAAGGAUUUGAGGAAAGAAUUAGGUGA
Molecule: ribosomal RNA, 2799 nt
Filed under: Triticum aestivum (bread wheat)
Lineage: Eukaryota; Viridiplantae; Streptophyta; Magnoliopsida; Poales; Poaceae
Description: partial small subunit ribosomal RNA
Source: RNAcentral